Molecule: unclassified non-coding RNA, 197 nt
Filed under: plant metagenome
Description: partial contains small subunit ribosomal RNA, internal transcribed spacer 1, and 5.8S ribosomal RNA
Source: RNAcentral
UCUCCGUUGGUGAACCAGCGGAGGGACCAUUACCGAGUGCAAACUCAUAACCCUUUGUGAACCUAUAUCUGUUGCUUCGGCGGCUCGCUCUCGGGCGAGCCCGCCGGUAAUAUCAGUAUCUCUGUUUGAACCCGACGAUACUUCUGAGUGUUCUUAGCGAACAGUUAAAACUUUUAACAACGGAUCUCUUGGCUCUA